Molecule: ribosomal RNA, 305 nt
Filed under: uncultured bacterium
Lineage: Bacteria
Description: bacterial SSU rRNA
Rfam family: Bacterial small subunit ribosomal RNA
Source: RNAcentral
GGCCUACGGGGGGCAGCAGUGGGGAAUAUUGGACAAUGGGGGGAACCCUGAUCCAGCGACGCCGCGUGAGUGAAAAAGUAUUUCGGUAUGUAAAGCUCUAUCAGCAGGGAAGAAAGAAAUGACGGUACCCGACCAAGAAGCCCCGGCUAACUACGUGCCAGCAGCCGCGGUAAUACGUAGGGGGCAAGCGUUAUCCGGAUUCACUGGGUGUAAAGGGAGCGUAGACGGCGAGACAAGUCUGGAGUGAAAGGCCGGGGCCCAACCCCGGGACUGCUCUGGAAACUGCCUGGCUGGAGUACAGGAGG